UGCAAGUCGCACGAGAAAGGGUAGCAAUACCUGAGUACAGUGGCGCACGGGUGAGUAACACGUGAAUUAUCUACCUUCGAGUGGGGAAUAACUGGGAGAAAUCUCAGCUAAUACCGCAUAACACUUACGAGUCAAAGCAGCAAUGCGCUUGAAGAGGAGUUCGCGGCAGAUUAGUUAGUUGGCGGGGUAAUGGCCCACCAAGACGAUGAUCUGUAUCCGGCCUGAGAGGGCGCACGGACACACUGGAACUGAAACACGGUCCAGACUCCUACGGGAGGCAGCAGUGGGGAAUUUUGCGCAAUGGGGGAAACCCUGACGCAGCAACGCCGCGUGGAGGAUGAAAUCCCUUGGGAUGUAAACUCCUUUCGAUCGGGACGAUUAUGACGGUACCGGAAGAAGAAGCCCCGGCUAACUUCGUGCCAGCAGCCGCGGUAAUACGAGGGGGGCAAGCGUUGUUCGGAAUUAUUGGGCGUAAAGGGCGCGUAGGCGGUUUGACAAGUCUGAUGUGAAAUCUCUGGGCUCAACCCAGAGUCUGCAUUAGAAACUGUCGGGCUUGAGUAUGGGAGAGGUGAGUGGAAUUUCCGGUGUAGCGGUGAAAUGCGUAGAUAUCGGAAGGAACACCUGUGGCGAAAGCGGCUCACUGGACCAUAACUGACGCUGAGGCGCGAAAGCUAGGGGAGCAAACAGGAUUAGAUACCCUGGUAGUCCUAGCCCUAAACGAUGAUUGCUUGGUGUGACAGGUACCCAAUCCUGUCGUGCCGAAGCUAACGCGAUAAGCAAUCCGCCUGGGGAGUACGGUCGCAAGGCUG
This 809-nucleotide ribosomal RNA is filed under the name uncultured Acidobacteriota bacterium. RNAcentral describes it as "bacterial SSU rRNA". It matches the Rfam family "Bacterial small subunit ribosomal RNA", at positions 56 to 896 of the family's 1533-position model. The record is from RNAcentral. Lineage: Bacteria; Pseudomonadati; Acidobacteriota.